UUGAACAAGUAGAAGCGCCCGCUUCUCGCCAAGUGAUGAUGUUGCUUGGCAGAUACAGUUGUCCUUAUGGACUACAAGUAUUCGGAGUGGGUGAAGAUUAAUUUCUUUAUCCACUUUUCUUCUUGAUU
RNAcentral lists this small RNA (128 nucleotides) under Leuconostoc carnosum. RNAcentral describes it as "L20_leader". It matches the Rfam family "Ribosomal protein L20 leader". Rfam says of the family: This family is a putative r-protein leader autoregulatory structure found in B. subtilis and other low-GC Gram-positive bacteria. It is located in the 5' untranslated regions of mRNAs encoding initiation factor 3 followed by ribosomal proteins L35 and L20 (infC-rpmI-rplT). The record is from RNAcentral. Lineage: Bacteria; Bacillati; Bacillota; Bacilli; Lactobacillales; Lactobacillaceae.